Molecule: ribosomal RNA, 100 nt
Filed under: uncultured bacterium
Lineage: Bacteria
Description: partial 16S ribosomal RNA
Rfam family: Bacterial small subunit ribosomal RNA
Source: RNAcentral
UACACACCGCCCGUCACACCAUGGGAGUGAGUUGCUCCAGAAGCCGUUAGUCUAACCGCAAGGGGGACGACGACCACGGAGUGGUUCAUGACUGGGGGUG